RNAcentral lists this transfer RNA (76 nucleotides) under Nitrospirota bacterium. RNAcentral's name for it is "Nitrospirae bacterium (marine sediment metagenome) tRNA-Cys". It matches the Rfam family "tRNA". From Rfam's summary of the family: Transfer RNA (tRNA) molecules are approximately 80 nucleotides in length. Their secondary structure includes four short double-helical elements and three loops (D, anti-codon, and T loops). Further hydrogen bonds mediate the characteristic L-shaped molecular structure. tRNAs have two regions of fundamental functional importance: the anti-codon, which is responsible for specific mRNA codon recognition, and the 3' end, to which the tRNAs corresponding amino acid is attached (by aminoacyl-tRNA synthetases). tRNAs cope with the degeneracy of the genetic code in two manners: having more than one tRNA (with a specific anti-codon) for a particular amino acid; and 'wobble' base-pairing, i.e. permitting non-standard base-pairing at the 3rd anti-codon position. Lineage: Bacteria; Pseudomonadati; Nitrospirota. The record is from RNAcentral.
GGCGACGUACCCAAGUGGCUAAGGGAGCGGUCUGCAAAACCGCCAUCCACCGGUUCGAAUCCGGUCGUCGCCUCCA